This 439-nucleotide ribosomal RNA is filed under the name uncultured bacterium. Its description in RNAcentral is "partial 16S ribosomal RNA". It matches the Rfam family "Bacterial small subunit ribosomal RNA", at positions 338 to 794 of the family's 1533-position model. The record is from RNAcentral.
CCUACGGGAGGCAGCAGCGAGGAAUUUUGGGCAAUGGGCGAAAGCCUGACCCAGCAACGCCGCGUGGGGGACGAAGGCCUUCGGGUUGUAAACCCCUUUUGCCAGGGACGAUGGUGACGGUACCUGGCGAAUAAGCCUCGGCUAACUACGUGCCAGCAGCCGCGGUAAUACGUAGGAGGCGAGCGUUGUCCGGAUUUACUGGGCGUAAAGCGCGUGUAGGCGGGAGGGCCAGUCUCCUGUGAAAUCUCCCGGCUCAACGGGGAGGAGUCAGGAGAUACUACCCUUCUUGAGGGCAGCAGAGGGAAGUGGAAUUCCCGGUGGAGGGGUAAAAUGCGUAGAUAUCGGGAGGAACACCAGUGGCGAAGGCGGCUCCCGGGGCUGUUCCUGACGCUGAGACGCGAAAGCGUGGGGAGCAAACCGGAUUAGAUCCCCCUGUAGU